AGGACGAACGCUGGCGGCGUGCUUAACACAUGCAAGUCGAGCGACGCGCUUUCGGGUGACGGAGCGGCGAACGGGUGAGUAACACGUGGGCAACCUGCCCCUAGCUCUGGGACAACUCAGGGAAACCGGGGCUAAUACCGGAUACGACCUCGGAGGGCAUCUUCUGAGGUGGAAAGUUUUUCGGCUAGGGAUAGGCCCGCGGCCUAUCAGCUUGUUGGUGGGGUCACGGCCCACCAAGGCGACGACGGGUAG
RNAcentral lists this ribosomal RNA (252 nucleotides) under uncultured bacterium. RNAcentral's name for it is "partial small subunit ribosomal RNA". It matches the Rfam family "Bacterial small subunit ribosomal RNA", at positions 26 to 286 of the family's 1533-position model. The record is from RNAcentral.